AGACGUCUACAUUAGAUACCCGCGUAGUCCCAGCCGUAAACGAUGCGCGUUAGGUGUAUCGACGACCACGAGUCGUCGAGGUGCCGAAGGGAAACCGUGAAACGUGCCGCCUGGGAAGUACGGUCGCAAGGCUAGAAACUUAAAGGAAUUGGCGGGGAGCACCACAACAGGUGGAGCCUGCGGUUUAAUUGGACUCAACGCCGGAAAUCUCACCGGAUAAGACAGCAGAAUGAUUGCCGGGCUGAAGACUCUGCAUGACUAGCUG
RNAcentral lists this ribosomal RNA (265 nucleotides) under uncultured archaeon. RNAcentral's name for it is "partial 16S ribosomal RNA". It matches the Rfam family "Archaeal small subunit ribosomal RNA", at positions 717 to 982 of the family's 1478-position model. The record is from RNAcentral.